CACAGUCUACCUGUGCUACGUACCAUAAUGAAUGGAGCAAGAGGUCCAUUUGUAUCUGAAAUGUGCGCAUUCCAGGUUGACUCCCAACCUCAAGAGUUUACCUUUCUCGUUUCCCACAGUGCUCCUUGUGUCACUGCAGAUGAUGGUCUGCAGCUUCAUCUUGUUUUAGACAACGAUCGGUAUCUUCUCUCCUGCCCAGUCAUUGCUCAGUUUCCCAGUUCCCCCCCUCUACCAAAGUUUUCAUUUGUGUCUCCUGGUGAUCUUCAGUCCUCUUACAGCCCAGAUACCAUCAAACCCAGCUCCUCAUUUUUUCCUUCUCCUAAGACUUCAGACCAGAAGCAAACUGUCCAUCAGCAAAACUAUUCCCCCUACCCUGGCCUCCGGUACCACCAACUGCCGCAAGUCUCUCCUCCUGCCCCACAACCCCCCCAUUCACGUCAGUUCAGCAUUGACAAUUUCCCCAAGUCCCAGUUGUUGGAGGAGUACCCCUCUAGAUCUGGAAAAUUGUCUUUUUCUUUUGAUGGGCACUAUCCUCAUUCUCAUUACUAUUUUCCAAGGAAAGGUCCUUCUCCUCAACUUUUUAAUUCACCUGAUCACCCUUCUAAAUACCCAUAUGGUCUAUAUUAUCCUUACUUGCAAUUUUCUCCGAUUUUCUCAACCCCAGAAGAAAAAGAAAUUCCCAAACCUCGAGCAGGUUCUUUUCCAAAGUACUACCUACAGACAUCUUACCAUUCUAUAACCACAGCAACACCUGUUACCCAAGUUCCAGUUACUGUCCCCACUCCAGUCUUUCCACCAGAACGACCUGAAGGUCUCCCACAUCAAGCCAAACCUCUGUAUCCACUGCUCUCUUACAACCAAAAGCCAGGGUUGUAUCCUGCUCCAGAUCUUUAUGCUCAUCUGCUCUU
Nematolebias whitei (Rio pearlfish) is the source of this 908-nucleotide long non-coding RNA. RefSeq lists it as uncharacterized. Lineage: Eukaryota; Metazoa; Chordata; Actinopteri; Cyprinodontiformes; Rivulidae. The record is from RefSeq and is a predicted model, not a curated record. The transcript has 3 exons.